RNAcentral lists this ribosomal RNA (389 nucleotides) under uncultured bacterium. Its description in RNAcentral is "bacterial SSU rRNA". It matches the Rfam family "Bacterial small subunit ribosomal RNA", at positions 29 to 417 of the family's 1533-position model. The record is from RNAcentral.
AUUGAACGCUGGCGGAAUGCUUUACACAUGCAAGUCGAGCGGCAGCGCGGGGGCAACCCCGGCGGCGAGCGGCGAACGGGUGAGUAAUACAUCGGAACGUGUCCUUGAGUGGGGGAUAGCUCGGCGAAAGCCGGAUUAAUACCGCAUAAGCUCUGCGGAGGAAAGCGGGGGACUGGUAACGGCCUCGCGCUGUUGGAGCGGCCGAUGUCGGAUUAGCUAGUUGGUGGGGUAAAGGCCCACCAAGGCGACGAUCCGUAGCUGGUCUGAGAGGAUGAUCAGCCACACUGGAACUGAGACACGGUCCAGACUCCUACGGGAGGCAGCAGUGGGGAAUUUUGGACAAUGGGGGCAACCCUGAUCCAGCCAUUCCGCGUGAGUGAAGAAGGCCU